GGAAAUGUUAUCCACCCCACCCUUUUCCCAAGACAGACUUUAAAAGUGCUGUAUUCCUUUUGCAUUCUAAAAAUUGCAUUUAAUAUUUCUAUAUUGUAUUUCUAUGCUUUAUCCAGUUGUUAAAAAUAUACACACUAUGUUCUCUACCUUAAACAUAAUGAUUUCAGGUUUAUACACUCCAAACCAACCUAGGCAGGGUAAACAACAUCUAAUUUUGCCAGCUUCCACAAUCUGUACCAUUCUGAGGCGACUACUUCAGAGCCAGGACAACAGGUCCUCCCCACAUCUUGAAACUAGACCAUCAGUCGAGGCCCAUAUAACCUAGUGGCUAUUGUUAAGUGCUUUCCUCCUUUCAUGACCUUUAAUCUGUAAAUGCAACUAAUUUUCCCCACCACAUCCCACAUCAUCAUGAUCACAAAUCCCGUUAACAAACCUUUACACAGAAUUCAGAUUAUUCAAAUUAACAUUUUGCGAGCUCUUUGCUCUAUAUUUAACAAACUACUUUGUCUAUGCUGCAAAUGAAUGUUACUCCAACCCCUUCUUUUCUUUCAAACACACAUUGCAUAUCAUCUUCACUUAUAAAUGUCUAGCUUCUUUUAUAAUCUUUUUUUUCUUUUGAAGGUCAAUUGAACUUGAUCAUCUUUCUGAUCCUUCUUAACCAUGUGUGAGAUCUUUUUGUCAGCUAAAACUUCAAAAUUAUAGUUGCAUA
This is a long non-coding RNA of Dreissena polymorpha, 709 nucleotides long. RefSeq lists it as uncharacterized. NCBI's taxonomy places the organism in Eukaryota, Metazoa, Mollusca, Bivalvia, Myida, Dreissenidae. The record is from RefSeq and is a predicted model, not a curated record. The transcript is spliced from 2 exons.